UUCCUGGGACUGAAGCUUGGAAGAUGUGCCAAUCUCCUGACCUGAGGUUCUGGCUCCAUCUUCUAGGUGGAGAAGACCCAGCUUUUAAGUCAGGCUUUUGAGCAAUUCUGCAAUUGUUUCAAACCUACUCAUGGAUUCCCCAGCUAUGGAACAGCCUGAAGGAGCCUCAUUGUGAAAGCAAGCACAAGCCUUGGGCUUGCUACUCACAGACCAAGUGGGAAAGCCUGGCUCUGCUGGAGAACUCCACUGAGAAAUUAAUCACUGGCCAGAUCCUUAUCGAAAGCUGCUUGAAGAAAUCUCCUUGCCAUUUCCAGACUGGAGACCUUUUGUUUUCAUUCAGCGAAGUACCAGUUCUGUAAGAGACAGCUUUCUCCACUCAGCAUCUUUGGGACACCCAUCGAUCAACGACAGGGAAUUGAAGUAAGAGGAGGGUGGCUUGGAAAAUAAACUCUUCACAUUCAACUGACGAAGUGGGAAACAUCCGCUGCUGGCCUAUCUCCACCAGCUUUGAUGGAGCAGCGCCAGCACAGAGCUUGGCCCGGCGUCUUUCAAGUCAUUAUUCUUUCAUUGGUUAUUUGCUAGUCUAUUGAAAGCCGGAGUUUUACAUCUGCUGCCUCAUGGACUUUCUCUCCUAUUAUGAACAUGCUUUG
Molecule: long non-coding RNA, 650 nt
Filed under: Anas zonorhyncha (Eastern spot-billed duck)
Lineage: Eukaryota; Metazoa; Chordata; Aves; Anseriformes; Anatidae
Description: lncRNA (ENSAZOG00000014154.1)
Source: RNAcentral